CAAAGAGAAACUGAAUUGGCGAGGGAAUAUACGGUGUAUGUGUUCAAUUCUAAGGUUUAAAAAGCAACAUCAAAUAUGCGAGUGCCUUGGGUCAGAAUCUUGUUGUUUGUUUUCGCCGCUUGCGGUACAGAAGCUACAAAUUGUAGUUCGAUUAAAGGUUUGUGUGUAUACUUAAUAAGUCUUGAGUACUGUAAAUUGUACUGUAGGUGUGUGUUUAAUUAAUGCCUUAUUCUCGAUCCAUGCAAAUCUGUAUUAUAACAACCAUGCUUUCAUGCCAAGCUUUUCUUCGGGUUUGGUCAAAAGAUCUCUGUGAUAUUACUGUAUAAAAGCACACAUUUGCAGACCUGCCAAGUCUCACGAUUUAAUCGUGAGACUCACGAUUUUUGAUGCUUUCUCACGAUUAAGUCCCCAAAUCUCACGAUUUUCGGAACUUAUGAAAUCAUCGAAAAGCGCAACAUCUAGUUACAAUUAGGAUCACACUUUAUUAGUUAAUGCACAAUGUACAACGCCAGAAUUUUGUAUACGUGAUGUUUAUGUUACAAAGUAAAAGGCGUGUCCUGCUAAGUUUAUUGUCCUCUAGUCUUGAAGGUGAUCUACAGUCCGAUCUGCGCAUGUGCACAAAUGAGCCCACUUUUUAUAAUACAAACAGUUUAACUAUGUUUUGAGUUCUUGAAAAGCCUAACUGUUGUUUCUUGAUCAUUUAUUAUACUCUAGAAGCUUGAAAAUAUAAAUAGUUGUCGAAUAAAGCUCAAUAUUUUGGACACAAAAAUGUAAACAAAGGCUUUGUUUACAUACGGACUGUAGAUCACCUUUAAUAUUACUCGUAAUUUUCUUGUUUUUGUAUGCAGUGGAAGCUACUAUAAAAGCCAUAAAGAAAAAACAGCCUAUUUUUAAUAAGCCUUGCAUAACAAAAUAUAACGCAUACUAUCCUAAGAUUGAAUAUCUAUUGAUUAUUUUCUAGUGUUGUUAAAGUUAACCCUGGUCAUAUGAAAGACCAAACCUGAAAAUUUCUAAGUCUCACGAUUUUUCAGUCAAUCUCACGACUUUUUAGAUAGCACCUCACUAUUUCUGCUACUCAAGGGUUGGCAGACCAUUUGUGUUGUAUAAAUGUAACCUCAAUUUUCUCCCCAUUUCAUGGCCUGUUGUAGUUUAAUAUGAAGCGACAAAAUAUCGGUUCAAAAGGGGCUUUUUUGUGGGAUUUUCAAGCACAUUUUGUGGGAUUGAUUAGCACACGUUGUUCUGUAAUGGGCCGUUCCAUUUAAUAUAGGCAACCCCCCCCCCCCCCACCCCACCCCCAAAGGUGGGGUUUACCGGGGGCAUAGCAGGGACAUAUAUUAAUUUUUUGGCCUAUGACCCUGGGGCAUUUGAAGCAUUUUGCAUGUUAUUUGCCUCCGGGGGUAGGGGAAUUUGAAUGGAUUUUUUUAUCGUAAUGCAUAUGGUCAAGGGAACAGAAACCAUAUGGAGAGAGGAAGAUUUUCAUGGGGCAUAAAAAAAAUACCUGUGGUUCCGGUUCCCGACCGACCCUAUUUUUUUCUGCCGACCCUAUUAUUUUUUCAACGCAAUUGAGUCCAUGCGACCCUAUUUUCUCUGGGUGGUUGUUGUGGGCUACUGCCAAAAUGGCAUCUGUUGUCACACUAAUUAUUGAAAAAACCAUGAAAAAAAUAUUAAAAAAAAAAAUUAUUUCCGACCUACCGACCCUAAUUUUUUCGCAAUAUGAAACCCUGGAACCACAGGGUUUUUUUACGUCUAAAAUAUACAGUAUAAAAGGGUUUUCACAAAUGUCGCAUUUUGAUUCAAUGAUCAUCAUUUUGUAAAUUUAGGUGUGAACAUGCCUAAAACGACAGUUACUGAUGACACGUUGACCAUUUAAUUAACUUUUUGAACUUUCUUAGGAUUUCUAAUUAAUUAAUUUUCAUAAUCUUGUUGCAUGCUGUAUUCUGUUUGGAGUAGAUAUAUAUUAUAAUCUGAAUAAUUAUAGUCAGUAUUUUAUGUAAUAAUUAUUUCCUUCUUAUUUGAGGACCCUUAUGAAAACCAUCUUUGAUGAUAAGUCUUCCUCACAAAAGAUUGUUUAAUUAAAUAAAGAAAAAACAUGCCAGAGCAUGCACCUCAGUAGGUUUUGUGUAACAAGUCUAUAAAACUGUUUUUUAUAAUCUUUUCAUGUUUCUUAUAAUCUUCUAUCCGUUUGUAUUACUGCUAUUAAAAUUGAAAAGGAACAGCCUCGGGUAUGGGGCUAUUAGUCAAGUUUUGAUGAGAAGGUGGUUCCCUGUUGUGGGGGCUUUUGCCUAUUUUAGAAAGGUGGCCAAAAGAAAUCCCCACUUUUUGCCAGGGUGUGGUGGGGUGUGUGGGGGUUAAUAUUGACUCAUACAUUAGGAUAUUGCUUUUCCCUCUUGGAUAUCACUAAAACACCUAAUUUUUGCUAUUUUUAUUUUAAUCUCUCCACAGCAUCUCAAGCUCACACGUGGUUGGGGUAUAUUUGUAUUUUUAUAUUGGCUUAUACUAUGACAGAAUAUAAUUACUAUAUAUUGUCAAAAAAUGCUAAAAUAUUGUAUUAAAUUGAGAAAUAAUGUUGCUUACCACUACUACAAUGUGUAAUUGACUUUUCUGGCUUGAUUUGGUGUGAUUCAAUCCGCUUGAGAUAUGUCUGCUUAAUAAGGAGAAAAAUAGAGAAGGCAGAGUACUUCCGCUGCAAUUAUCCCGAAUUAGUUGCAUCAACUUCACAAAUUCUUCUCACAUUGCUAAAUAAUGCAUCGAAUUACCAAAAAAGAACAGAUUCAUAAAGCCCAGUAAAUUUCCUAUAACAUGCAUCAUAUUUUUUGUCAGUAAAAAACAUAAAAUGUUCAAUCUUAUGCAGCGUGACUCCUCACACCCCGACUAUUCCGUUGAGAGCUCACAAAUUUGGAUUACACACUCUGCUAUCAUUGGUUGAUCUGAAUGCAUUGACAGCAGAGUGUCAUUCAAAUUUGUGAGCUCUCAACAGAAUAGUCGGAGUGUGAGGAGACUCACUCUCGCUGCAUAAGAUUGAACAUUUUAUGGUUUUUUACUGACAAAAAAGGCUUGUGAUUGCUGAAGAUGAUGUAUGUUAUAGGAAAUUUACUGGGCUUUAUGAAUCUGUUUUUUUUUUUUUUUGCAAUUCGAUGCAUUAUUUAGCAAUGUGCGAACAAUUUGUGAAGUCGAUGAGACUAAUUCAGGAUAAUUGCAGCGCCUGAUUGCAGUGGAAGUACUCUGCCAUGAAUCAAGCCAGGGGCAGAUCACGAUAUACUAAUUCUAUUCUUAAAAUAUAUGAAUAAGAACUGUCUAAACUUGCCAGAAAUUGCCUUUCUGAAUUUGUAUUAAGUCAGUGCCCGUUGACUGGCCGUUAUUUCGCACCCUGAGUGCUUGCAAUGGCUGAAUUGUUUAAUUGGUCAAUUUUUAUUUACUAGUUCCUGAGGUGGCCAUAACGUAUUGGAAAGACUUUAGUACAGAUGCAUCUUGGUUGCGUACGGUACAGAAUGCAAACUACACAAUCACUGGCUGCUGUAUUCACCCUAACUUUCCAGAAAUUUGUUCUAAGUGCCCAACAUAUAAACCUUUGACUGAAUGUAGAGACAACCCAACACAAGAAUUUGGGAGAAUAUGUCAACUUUCUCAUUAUAUAAUCACUGUACAAACUGUAUCUAUUAAUUUGAGCAUCACAGUCCCAGGAUGUCCCACACAAAGCAAGAUCUAUUCCAAAAAAAUUACUGAUGAAGGUAUAAUGUUACAAUUAUUUAUUAAUGUAAUUAUGUUGUAUGUAGUCAGUAUGCUAAGAUGUUAGGUGUUGGGUAGCAAAAACUGUUUGAAUGUUUGUAUUACAUGAUUAAUAC
RNAcentral lists this long non-coding RNA (3842 nucleotides) under Paramuricea clavata. The record is from RNAcentral. Lineage: Eukaryota; Metazoa; Cnidaria; Anthozoa; Malacalcyonacea; Plexauridae.